This 1468-nucleotide ribosomal RNA is filed under the name uncultured bacterium. Its description in RNAcentral is "16S ribosomal RNA". It matches the Rfam family "Bacterial small subunit ribosomal RNA". The record is from RNAcentral.
GAUAAACGCUAGCGGUGCGCCUAACACAUGCAAGUCGAGCGAUCGAACUGGACUGAUCGCCCUUCGGGGUGAGAGGACCAGUGACGGAGCGGCGGACUGGUGAGUAACGCGUAGCCAACCUACCCCCUUGACGGAGAUAACUACCUGAAAGGGUAGCUAAUACCCGAUAUUGCUCGAGAUCGAAAGAUCUUGAGCCAAAGGCGGUCUUGCCGUCGCAAGAGGAGGGGGCUGCGUCCUAUUAGCUUGUUGGUGGGGUAAUGGCCCACCAAGGCGAUGAUGGGUAGCUGGUCUGAGAGGAUGGCCAGCCACAUUGGGACUGGGAUACGGCCCAGACUUCUACGGGAGGCAGCAGUGGGGAAUCUUUCGCAAUGGGCGAAAGCCUGACGGAGCGACACCGCGUGGGGGAUGAAGGCUUUCGGGUUGUAAACCUCUUUUCUGGGGGAAGAAUAAGGGCGGGAGGAAAUGCCCGUCCGAUGACGGUACCCCAGGAAUAAGCAUCGGCUAACUUCGUGCCAGCAGCCGCGGUAAGACGAAGGAUGCAAGCGUUAUCCGGAAUUACUGGGCGUAAAGGGCGCCUAGGCGGCUGAGUAAGUCACCUGUGAAAGCCCUCAGCUCAACUGAGGAAUGUCGAGUGAAACUGCUCAGCUUGGGUGCAGGAGAGGAGGGUGGAACUCACAGAGUAGCGGUGGAAUGCGUAGAUACUGUGAGGUACCCCGAUGGCGAAGGCAACCCUCUGGCUGCUACAGACGCUGAAGCGCGAAAGCGUGGGGAGCAAAGGGGAUUAGAUACCCCCGUAGUCCACGCCGCAAACGAUGUUCACUGGGUGUCGGUCGCUAAUACAGAUCGGUGCCGGAGCUAACGCGUUAAGUGAACCGCCUGGGGAGUACGGCCGCAAGGCUAAAACUCAAGAGAAUUGACGGGGCCCCGCACAAGCGGUGGAGCACGUGGUUUAAUUCGAUGAUAAGCGAAGAACCUCACCUGGGUUUGACAUGCUAGUGGUAGGAACCGGAAACGGGGACGACCCUUGCCUUCGGGUAAGGGAGCUAGUACAGGUGAUGCAUGGCUGUCGUCAGUUCGUGUCGUGGGACGUUGGGUUAAGUCCCGAAACGAGCGCAACCCCUGUCGUCAGUUGCCAGCGGGUAAAGCCGGGGACUCUGACGAGACUGCCGGUGAAUAGCCGGAGGAAGGAGGGGAUGACGUCAAGUCAUCAUGUCCCUUAUGCCCAGGGCGACACACAUGCUACAAUGGGGGGUACAAAGGGCUGCAAUGCCGUAAGGCUGAGCCAAUCCCAAAAAACCUUCCUCAGUUCGGAUUGAGGUCUGUAACUCGACCUCAUGAAGCCGGAAUCGCUAGUAAUCGCAGGUCAGCCACACUGCGGUGAAUAUGUACUCGGGGCUUGUACACACCGCCCGUCACACCAACCGAGUGGGGGGUACUUGAAGUCGCUCUUUAUAGAGCGCCGAGGGUA